Molecule: non-coding RNA, 28 nt
Filed under: Homo sapiens (human)
Lineage: Eukaryota; Metazoa; Chordata; Mammalia; Primates; Hominidae
Source: RNAcentral
UCCAGCCUGAGUGACAGGAGUUAAGCCC